CUUCAGGUCAUCGCUUGCUCUCGUUCCCAGGCUUUGGCUUCUAGUGGACGAGAAUCACCGAGUCUGCGGGGCUGGAUGCUGACCGCCCGGACCAGCACCUAGGCGGGCGGGAGCUGUGCGGCCCAGGGUUCGCGCGGGCCGGGUAGAGGCUCGAGCUGGGACCCCCGAGCGUGAACCCCGGAGCCGGCGGCGCUGGGGCCAGAGGGGCCGGGAGCCCCAGGGAGGCGGAUCUGGGCCCCGAGAAGGACACCCGCCUGGAUUUGCCCCGUAGGCCCGGCCCGGGCCCCUCGGGAGCAGAACAGCCUUGGUGAGGUGGACAGGAGGGGACCUCGCGAGCAGACGCGCGCGCCAGCGACAGCAGCCCGCCCCGGCCUCUCGGGAGCCGUGGGGCAGAGGCUGCGGAGCCCCAGGAGGGCCGGAGCCCUCAUGACUUCAGUGACCUGCUUCUGCCCCUCUAGGUCUAUCAGCCACAGUCUCUGCAUGUUUCCAAGAGCAGCAGAAAAUGAACACAUUGCAGGGGCCAGUGUCAUUCAAAGAUGUGGCUGUGGAUUUCACCCAGGAGGAGUGGCGGCAACUGGACCCUGAUGAGAAGAUAACAUACGGGGAUGUGAUGUUGGAGAACUACAGCCAUCUAGUUUCCUUGGCUUAUGAGGUGGCAACAUCUUGUACUUCGGAGAUUCUGAAGCCGAGCAACUUGCCCAAGUCCUUCUUCUUUUCCCAUUAACAAGAUAUGAUAUCACCAAGCCAAACGUCAUCAUUAAGUUGGAGCAGGGAGAGGAGCUGUGGAUAACGGGAGGUGAAUUUCCAUGUCAACAUAGUCCUGGGAUCGUGGGACUUUACCAGAUCGGUUUGUAAUAACACCUCGAAGACGCUAUCCGAUCCAUCAGACCCAGUAUUCCUGUCCGGGGGUACUUCCCACAGUGUGCUGGAAUGGUUAUCACAAGAAGGCUGUGCUGUCCCCUCGCAACUCCAGGAUGGUGUGUAGCCCAGUGACUGUGAGGAUCGCCCCUCCUGACAGAAGAUUUUCACGUUCUGCGAUACCAGAGCAGAUAAUCAGCUCAACACUGUCGUCACCAUCAAGUAAUGCCCCAGACCCAUGUGCAAAGGAGACUGUACUGAGUGCCCUCAAAGAGAAGAAGAAGAAAAGGACAGUGGAGGAAGAAGACCAAAUAUUCCUUGAUGGCCAGGAAAAUAAAAGAAGGCGCCAUGAUAGCAGUGGCAGUGGACAUUCAGCAUUUGAGCCCCUGGUGGCCAGUGGAGUCCCCGCUUCUUUUGUGCCUAAGCCUGGGUCUCUGAAGAGAGGCCUCAAUUCUCAGAGCUCAGAUGACCACUUGAAUAAGAGAUCCCGAAGCUCUUCCAUGAGCUCCUUGACAGGCGCUUACACAAGUGGCAUCCCUAGCUCCAGCCGCAAUGCCAUUACCAGUUCCUACAGCUCCACUCGAGGCAUCUCACAGCUGUGGAAGAGAAAUGGCCCCAGUUCAUCACCCUUCUCUAGCCCAGCCUCAUCCCGCUCCCAGACACCGGAGAGGC
This 1530-nucleotide long non-coding RNA is filed under the name Homo sapiens (human). RNAcentral describes it as "long non-coding RNA NONHSAT213622.1". Lineage: Eukaryota; Metazoa; Chordata; Mammalia; Primates; Hominidae. The record is from RNAcentral.